RNAcentral lists this transfer RNA (85 nucleotides) under Bacilli bacterium. RNAcentral describes it as "tRNA-Leu". It matches the Rfam family "tRNA". From Rfam's summary of the family: Transfer RNA (tRNA) molecules are approximately 80 nucleotides in length. Lineage: Bacteria; Bacillati; Bacillota; Bacilli. The record is from RNAcentral.
GCAGGUAUGGCGGAAUUGGCAGACGCGCUAGACUUAGGAUCUAGUGGAUUACUCCGUGGGGGUUCAAGUCCCUUUACCUGCACCA